This 315-nucleotide ribosomal RNA is filed under the name uncultured bacterium. RNAcentral's name for it is "bacterial SSU rRNA". It matches the Rfam family "Bacterial small subunit ribosomal RNA", at positions 160 to 507 of the family's 1533-position model. The record is from RNAcentral.
GAGCUAAUACCGGAUAAUGUCUUCGGAACCAAAGAUUUAUCGCCUUUAGAUGGGCCCGCGUUGGAUUAGCUAGUUGGUGGGGGUAAAGGCCUACCAAGGCGACGAUCCAUAGCUGGUCUGAGAGGAUGAUCAGCCACACUGGGACUGAGACACGGCCCAGACUCCUACGGGAGGCAGCAGUGGGGAAUAUUGGACAAUGGGCGCAAGCCUGAUCCAGCCAUGCCGCGUGAGUGAUGAAGGCCCUAGGGUUGUAAAGCUCUUUCACCGGUGAAGAUAAUGACGGUAACCGGAGAAGAAGCCCCGGCUAACUUCGUG